RNAcentral lists this ribosomal RNA (497 nucleotides) under uncultured bacterium. Its description in RNAcentral is "partial 16S ribosomal RNA". It matches the Rfam family "Bacterial small subunit ribosomal RNA", at positions 28 to 507 of the family's 1533-position model. The record is from RNAcentral.
GAUGAACGCUGGCGGCGUGCCUAAUACAUGCAAGUCGAGCGAACAGACGAGAAGCUUGCUCCUCUGACGUUAGCGGCGGACGGGUGAGUAACACGUGGAUAACCUACCUAUAAGACUGGGAUAACUUCGGGAAACCGGAGCUAAUACCGGAUAAUAUAUUGAACCGCAUGGUUCAAUAGUGAAAGACGGUCUUGCUGUCACUUAUAGAUGGAUCCGCGCCGCAUUAGCUAGUUGGUAAGGUAACGGCUUACCAAGGCAACGAUGCGUAGCCGACCUGAGAGGGUGAGCGGCCACACUGGAACUGAGACACGGUCCAGACUCCUACGGGAGGCAGCAGUAGGGAAUCUUCCGCAAUGGGCGAAAGCCUGACGGAGCAACGCCGCGUGAGUGAUGAAGGUCUUCGGAUCGUAAAACUCUGUUAUUAGGGAAGAACAAAUGUGUAAGUAACUAUGCACGUCUUGACGGUACCUAAUCAGAAAGCCACGGCUAACUACGUG